UGUGUUGUGGCUCAUUGGUAGUGUGCUUGCCUAGCACACGUGAGGCACUGAGUUCAAUUCUCAGCACCACAG
Molecule: non-coding RNA, 72 nt
Organism: Ictidomys tridecemlineatus (thirteen-lined ground squirrel)
Lineage: Eukaryota; Metazoa; Chordata; Mammalia; Rodentia; Sciuridae
Source: Rfam